This 574-nucleotide ribosomal RNA is filed under the name uncultured bacterium. RNAcentral's name for it is "partial 16S ribosomal RNA". It matches the Rfam family "Bacterial small subunit ribosomal RNA", at positions 354 to 918 of the family's 1533-position model. The record is from RNAcentral.
UGGGGGAAUAUUGGACAAUGGGCGAAAGCCUGAUCCAGCAAUGCCGCGUGUGUGAAGAAGGCCUUCGGGUUGUAAAGCACUUUUGUCCGGAAAGAAAUCCUCUGGGUUAAUACCUCGGGGGGAUGACGGUACCGGAAGAAUAAGCACCGGCUAACUACGUGCCAGCAGCCGCGGUAAUACGUAGGGUGCAAGCGUUAAUCGGAAUUACUGGGCGUAAAGCGUGCGCAGGCGGUUUUGUAAGACGGAUGUGAAAUCCCCGGGCUUAACCUGGGAACUGCAUUCGUGACUGCAAGGCUAGAGUAUGGCAGAGGGGGGUAGAAUUCCACGUGUAGCAGUGAAAUGCGUAGAGAUGGUGGAGGAAUACCGAUGGCGAAGGCAGCCCCCUGGGCCAAUACUGACGCUCAUGCACGAAAGCGUGGGGAGCAAACAGGAUUAAAUGACCCUGGUAGUCCACGCCCUAAACGAUGUCAACUAGUUGUUGGGGAUUCAUUUCCUUAGUAACGUAGCUAACGCGUGAAGUUGACCGCCUGGGGAGUACGGUCGCAAGAUUAAAAACUUAAAUGAAUUGACGGGG